Molecule: ribosomal RNA, 429 nt
Filed under: Clostridioides difficile
Lineage: Bacteria; Bacillati; Bacillota; Clostridia; Peptostreptococcales; Peptostreptococcaceae
Description: bacterial LSU rRNA
Rfam family: Bacterial large subunit ribosomal RNA
Source: RNAcentral
AGUCCACAUCGACGGGGAGGUUUGGCACCUCGAUGUCGGCUCAUCACAUCCUGGGGCUGUAGUAGGUCCCAAGGGUUGGGCUGUUCGCCCAUUAAAGUGGUACGCGAGCUGGGUUCAGAACGUCGUGAGACAGUUCGGUCCCUAUCCGUCGCAGGCGUAGGAAAUUUGAGAAGACCUGUCCUUAGUACGAGAGGACCGGGAUGGACGUACCUCUGGUGUACCAGUUGUCCUGCCAAGGGCAUGGCUGGGUAGCUAUGUACGGAAUGGAGAAGCGCUGAAAGCAUCUAAGCGCGAAGCCAACUUCAAGAUAAGAUUUCCCACCGCAAGGGUAAGACCCCAGAAAGACUAUCUGGUUGAAAGCGCUGAAAGAAUCUAAGUGUGAAGCCAAAUUCAAGAUAAGAUGUACCAACGCAAGGGUAAGAACCCAGA